ACGAACGCUGGCGGCGUGCUUAACACAUGCAAGUCGAACGGAAAGGCCCUUCUUUUGUGGGGUGCUCGAGUGGCGAACGGGUGAGUAACACGUGAGUAACCUGCCCUUGACUUUGGGAUAACUUCAGGAAACUGGGGCUAAUACCGGAUAGGAGCUCCUGCUGCAUGGUGGGGGUUGGAAAGUUUCGGCGGUUGGGGAUGGACUCGCGGCUUAUCAGCUUGUUGGUGGGGUAGUGGCUUACCAAGGCUUUGACGGGUAGCCGGCCUGAGAGGGUGACCGGCCACAUUGGGACUGAGAUACGGCCCAGACUCCUACGGGAGGCAGCAGUGGGGAAUAUUGCACAAUGGGCGGAAGCCUGAUGCAGCAACGCCGCGUGCGGGAUGACGGCCUUCGGGUUGUAAACCGCUUUCGCCUGUGACGAAGCGUGAGUGACGGUAAUGGGUAAAGAAGCACCGGCUAACUACGUG
This 467-nucleotide ribosomal RNA is filed under the name uncultured bacterium. RNAcentral describes it as "partial 16S ribosomal RNA". It matches the Rfam family "Bacterial small subunit ribosomal RNA", at positions 29 to 507 of the family's 1533-position model. The record is from RNAcentral.